Non-coding RNA from Arachis ipaensis, 342 nucleotides. The record is from RefSeq and is a predicted model, not a curated record. NCBI's taxonomy places the organism in Eukaryota, Viridiplantae, Streptophyta, Magnoliopsida, Fabales, Fabaceae.
UGAGGAGGCCAUAGAUGUCAUUGAAACUAUCAACGGGCCUGCUACACAUACAAGUAUCCAAGCUUCCAAGUUGGCCCAGCCCAAAUCGAAGACACGCGCAUAAGGAAGCAUAACAUGGCGCGUCAAAAUCACGCGCUCAACACAAACAGUUACGUAUGGCAGACUCUUCCACUUCCUCCACUUCUUCCACUUCUCAAAACGCUUCGAAACCAAGGAAACACUCCCAAUUUCGAGCAAAAAUCAAAGUUCAAAAUAUAGAAAUCGUUGUUCGAAACCUCCAUCAAAACAACAUCAAACUCUCCGUGAAGAAUCUGAAGACAAAACGAAGCAAAUACACUCAAC